Molecule: ribosomal RNA, 241 nt
Filed under: uncultured Staphylococcus sp.
Lineage: Bacteria; Bacillati; Bacillota; Bacilli; Caryophanales; Staphylococcaceae
Description: partial 16S ribosomal RNA
Rfam family: Bacterial small subunit ribosomal RNA
Source: RNAcentral
CGGACGGGUGAGUAACGCGUGGAUAACCUACCUAUAAGACUGGGAUAACUUCGGGAAACCGGAGCUAAUACCGGAUAAUAUUUUGAACCGCAUGGUUCAAAAGUGAAAGACGGUCUUGCUGUCACUUAUAGAUGGAUCCGCGCUGCAUUAGCUAGUUGGUAAGGUAACGGCUUACCAAGGCAACGAUGCAUAGCCGACCUGAGAGGGUGAUCGGCCACACUGGAACUGAGACACGGUCCAG